Molecule: long non-coding RNA, 729 nt
Filed under: Mytilus galloprovincialis (Mediterranean mussel)
Lineage: Eukaryota; Metazoa; Mollusca; Bivalvia; Mytilida; Mytilidae
Source: RNAcentral
GCACAGUAUUGUUCAAUAGCAAGAAAUCUUCAAUUGACAGUAUUGCGCAAUAGCAAGAAAUAUCUAAUUGCACAAUGAUGUGAAAUAGCAAUCAAUUUUCAAUUGGAGUUAUCUUUCUUUGUCCAGAAUAGAUAUUUUUGCUAAAGCAAGAUAUUUUCAAUAUUCUUUGAAAAUUUGAGUUAUCUUUCUUUGUCCAGAAUAGUAGUUGAAUCAACUUAAAUCAUUGUUUUAUACAAUAUACAAUGUAUUUUCACUUUUCUACCAACUGAUAAAUUAAAACAAUCUUUACCAUUCAGUGAUAAAAAGCACUUUUUUUUACAUUUUAAUAUUUUAUGAUGUAUUUAAAUGAGCAGUUAUUGUUGCAAACUCCAUUAGAAAUUUGAAUUGAGAUCAGUUUUGGAAUAAGGGAAAGAGGGAUGUGAAAACAAAAUUAGGGGGGGGGGGUCAAUUUUUCUCAUUUCAUUUUUCAUAAAUAAAAAGAAAAUUUCUUCAAACAUUUUUUUGAGAGGAUUAAUAUUCAACAGCAUAGUGAAAUUUUUUUUUUAAAGUUUAUAAGACCACAUUCAUUCUGUGUCAGAAACCUAUGCUGUGUCAACUAUUUAAUCACAAUCCAAAUUUAGAGCUGAAUCCAGCUUGAAUGUUGUGUCCAUACUUUCCCCAAAUGUUCAGGGUUCAACCUCUGCGGUCGUAUAAAGCUGCGCCCUGCGGAGCAUCUGGUUAGUUUCUGUU